Molecule: ribosomal RNA, 234 nt
Filed under: uncultured bacterium
Lineage: Bacteria
Description: partial 16S ribosomal RNA
Rfam family: Bacterial small subunit ribosomal RNA
Source: RNAcentral
GAUCCUGGCUCAGGACGAACGCUGGCGGCGCGCCUAACACAUGCAAGUCGAACGAGCGAGAGAGAGCUUGCUUUCUCAAGCGAGUGGCGAACGGGUGAGUAACGCGUGAGGAACCUGCCUCAAAGAGGGGGACAACAGUUGGAAACGACUGCUAAUACCGCAUAAGCCCACAGGUCGGCAUCGACCAGAGGGAAAAGGAGCAAUCCGCUUUGAGAUGGCCUUGCGUCCGAUUAG